UUUAUAGUGCAGAGGCUGACGCUCCCCACAUCAUGACUGACAUCAACAGGAUACCAGAGGUACAAAUACUUGCCCACACUGGCGAAUAUUACCCAGCCUUUCCUCAAAAGCACCUAAGACUGGUUGUUGAUUGCAUUGUUUCAUACCUGUUCUGAAAGCCAAGAAACUGCUAAGACAAGUCCAUACUGCAUUUGCCACUGAAAAAAAAAAUCACAGUGAAGAAAGAACCCAGAGGAAGAUUUGCUUGCUAAACUUAUCUCAUCAUAACCCUUGAGCUGCACUUGACUUGUUAGAGUAACGAGGCAGAACUUACUAGACCUACUUCACAUCUUAUAUUGACUAGCUUCAAUUGUUGUUAUCUUUUAAAGCCUUCAUGGUGAAUGCCGUUUUUUAAAAAUAUUAUUAUUUGUAGGAUAUUGCAACAGAUCUGUGAACUGAAAUAAUAAACUGUGAAUCACUUAUAUUUUCCUAGAAUAUGGACUGAUCUUCAGGGAUUAAUCUUAAAAAGAGCUUUACGCAUUUCUCAUGGGUUCCUCUAUAGCC
Molecule: long non-coding RNA, 543 nt
Filed under: Gallus gallus (chicken)
Lineage: Eukaryota; Metazoa; Chordata; Aves; Galliformes; Phasianidae
Source: RNAcentral